UGAGGCCAGCGGCGGGUGGAUGGGGGUGGGGGUGGAAGGGGAGCGGCGGGGGGGUUUUAUAUCGGACUUCUUGGACGUUGAAGUGCGUGGUCGUUCCAUUUGUCUGUCGAGGUUACCGCAAGAGGAGGGAGAGGUGGGGCAGGAGGAGCAGGGGGAGGAGCAGGAAGUGGGAGGGGUGGUUCGGGAGGGGCCCGCGUCCGAGGGAGAGGAAGAGGUCCCGCAGGCGCCCCUCCAAGUCCUACCGCCGCCACUCCCGCGUCCGCCUCCGCCACCUGUGCAGGUAGUCGGGCGCCCACUCGCGCGACGCCGGCAGGUUCUGGUACCGGUAGUGGCUGUACCGGUCGCGCGACGCCGUCCGGCCCCACGGGCAGUAGCCUGAGCGGCGACCCCUCGGGCUGAAGCUGUGCGGCCGCCACUAGCGCCUCCGACCCUAUUUACGUUAGUCCCUACCCAGAUGUUCCAUGUGUGGAUUACGUCCCUGAUACCUCGACUCCUUUCGGUAGACGUUGUUCGAAGUCCUCCUCUUACCAGAUUGGAUGUCGGGUCUAGUCCACGAUCACUCGUUACCUCGAUUCGUCACGUAAUGUGUUCGACAAGAACGACAGACGAGUGGACCACUACUCCAAAACUAUGGUCGUGGUAAAACCCAGUCGAUAGGACUUUACCGAUCCAACCGACCACGUUGUGGUCACUAGGAGGGCUGUUCGUAUAGUCUGUUAAAGGACGAUUUCGGUCUCAGUGAACGGAGUCACUAGUGACUUUUUAGUUCCGAGAACUAAGAUACGAGAGGUAGAUUAGGUUGUCCGAGACACAUAGGAUUCCUCGACGAACUCCUCUAACGACGAUAUCAGUUCUUCAUAGGAUCCGAGGACCAAGAUAGACUACUCUAGAUACUCGUAUAAUAGAUAGUAGGACGAUUUGUGUGUUCGAAACGACGUAAUGGACCUUACAUACUGGCUUGUAAUUGACAUUUACCUAAAAGAUUCCGAAAACGAUACUGACCGACCGCUGAACCUAUGAAUCGACGGGGAUUUGUAAAACAGAGUCGAACACCUUUCUAGGUUUCGGUCAUGUGUAGACCACGGUCAUCAUAUAGCGUCUUCCGUCCCGAACGUCGGAACUUGGAACCAAUACGGCCGCCACUUCGUCAAAGUUGGUACCAGUUUCGUAAGGUCCUCGCGGCCCUAAUGGAACAUUCUUCAAAGUCCCUUGACGGUCCCCAUUUUUAUAGUCUUGGAGUCCCACGAAAGAUAAACAAGGAGCUGAAGUCGAGGAUGAUGCCUAGGCUCCAUCUCCCAAAACCGUGAUAGUUCCUGAGACUCUGGGAGACGUACAAGGACGAUCUCUUUCGUGUCCAGCGCGAACAGGGACCUCUACGUAAACCCCUACUGUUCCCGUAAGCAUAGAGGAUGCGACGACGUGACAGUUGCGAUGUUAGACGCUACCUCUUCUAUUUUCUGCGUUACCGAGACGAGUUCCGGGGACGGCGCCAAGUUAUUUUUUAUCGCACGACUUCCGUAGAAGCGGUCGUAAUAUAAUUUUCGUACGGGUAACCCUUUUAUCCUUUUGUACGGUAACAACAUGUUGUCUAUCAAGUGGUAAAAGAACCAACACUUGAACGCUCGCUAAACGAAACAAAGUUUGAAAAGUAAACCACAUUACAUUAACAGAAAUGGACGUCCAGUCUUUACUUUUAUUAUACAACGAAGCUGUUGGAUUCUACCCUUUAUUAACUACAAGUGACUAAACCCACCUUUUCUGGAACAUUUAGUAAAUACCUCUUCAUGAAUUGUAGGAACGAAAAGUCGUAAAAU
RNAcentral lists this ribosomal RNA (1814 nucleotides) under Triticum aestivum (bread wheat). Its description in RNAcentral is "partial small subunit ribosomal RNA". Lineage: Eukaryota; Viridiplantae; Streptophyta; Magnoliopsida; Poales; Poaceae. The record is from RNAcentral.